CCUACGGGUGGCAGCAGUGAGGAAUAUUGGUCAAUGGGCGGAAGCCUGAACCAGCCAAGUCGCGUGAGGGAAUAAGGCCCUACGGGUCGUAAACCUCUUUUGCCGGGGAGCAAGGGCGGGGACGUGUCCCGGCCCGGAGAGUACCCGGAGAAAAAGCAUCGGCUAACUCCGUGCCAGCAGCCGCGGUAAUACGUAGGAGGCGAGCGUUAUCCGGAAUGACUGGGCGUAAAGGGUGCGUAGGUGGUUUGGCAAGUUAGUAGCGUAACUCCAAGGCUCAACCUUGGAACUACUACUAAAACUGUUGGACUUGAGUGCAGGAGGGGCAACCGGAAUUCCUAGUGUAGCGGUGGAAUGCGUAGAUAUUAGGAGGAACACCAGUGGCGAAGGCGGGUUGCUAGACUGUAACUGACACUGAGGCACGAAAGCGUGGGGAGCAAACAGGAUUAGAUACCCGUGUAGUC
Molecule: ribosomal RNA, 461 nt
Filed under: uncultured bacterium
Lineage: Bacteria
Description: partial 16S ribosomal RNA
Rfam family: Bacterial small subunit ribosomal RNA
Source: RNAcentral